This 72-nucleotide transfer RNA is filed under the name Ovis aries (sheep). It matches the Rfam family "tRNA". From Rfam's summary of the family: Transfer RNA (tRNA) molecules are approximately 80 nucleotides in length. Lineage: Eukaryota; Metazoa; Chordata; Mammalia; Artiodactyla; Bovidae. The record is from Rfam by way of RNAcentral.
UUCCUGCUGGCUCAGAUGGUAAAGAAUCUGCCUGCCGUGCAGGAGACCCAAGUUCUAUCCCUGGGUAGGGAA